RNAcentral lists this unclassified non-coding RNA (1541 nucleotides) under Hevea brasiliensis (rubber tree). Lineage: Eukaryota; Viridiplantae; Streptophyta; Magnoliopsida; Malpighiales; Euphorbiaceae. The record is from RNAcentral.
UCGUCUUAAAAUUUUCGUUUAGUUGUUACAUUUGGUGAACGAUCUGGAGCGCUGUGUCUAGCGAGAGAUGGAAUCCUCCAAAAAUCUCACUUCACUGCCUGAAGAGGGCCAAGAAGACGAUAAUCAUGAAGAACAAGAAGGAAAAGAUACCCGGAAGCCAUCUGUUUCUGCUUUUGCCUCUGUUCCUCAUCGCCCUCCUUCUGCUCAGAGCUCUUUACAGAAGUACUCUCCCUUAGACUGGAAGGAGUUCUUCGACCGAGAGGAAGAUGUUUGCAUUCCCAAUUCAAAUGAUGUAUUUCAUGUGUAUAUGGCAGGAAGCGAAGGACCUGUGGUUUUUUGUCUUCAUGGGGGUGGCUAUUCUGGGCUUUCAUUUGCACUGUCAGCAAGUAAAAUUAAGGAGAAAGCACGGGUAGUUGCCAUUGACUUGAGAGGACACGGGAAAACAUCCACUGAAAAUGACCUUGAUCUAUCCAUUGAGACCUUGUCCAAUGAUGUUUUGGCUAUAUUGAAGGAAAUGUAUGGAGAUUCUCCUCCUGCAAUUGUGCUUGUUGGUCACAGCAUGGGGGGCUCAGUAGCUGUGCAUGUUGCCGCUAAGAAAGCAUUAUGUAGCUUGGCUGGGUUGGUUGUUGUGGAUGUUGUGGAGGGAACGGCUAUGGCUUCUUUGGUUCACAUGCAGAAAAUCUUAUCAAAUAGGAUGCAGCAUUUCUCAAGCAUAGAGAAAGCGGUAGAAUGGAGUGUCAAGGGAGGUUCUUUAAGAAACAUUGAUUCUGCCCGCAUAUCUGUGCCUACCACUUUAAAGUAUGAUGAUUCAAAGAAAUGUUAUGUUUAUAGAGCACGUCUGGAGGAAACAGAACAAUAUUGGAGAGGAUGGUAUGAAGGCCUUUCAGAAAAAUUUCUGUCAUCUCCUGUUCCAAAACUCUUACUUUUAGCAGGAACAGAUAGACUUGACAGAGCUCUUACAAUUGGCCAAAUGCAAGGGAAGUUCCAAAUGGUGGUUGUCCGACAUACCGGACAUGCUAUACAGGAAGAUGUACCUGAUGAAUUUGCAACGCUCAUUGUUAAUUUUAUAUCCCGCAACCGCAUAGGGCCUCAUGGAGUUGAGAUACCUGGACUCCGUUGACCAUCACAGCCACAACAUUGAUGAUGUUGGACAAAUUGUCUACUAAUUUCGCCUAUUUUGGACGAUGAUGCAGAGACAACAUAUGCUAUGCAUUCAGCUUCACAUGCCGGAUCUCUAGUAAAUGUGCUUAGAGGUUUAUUUUCUUUAAUCUUGCCAAAUUUCUGAAUUAAUAAUCCAGUAAUGCAACUUUGAAGUGAUAUGACAAACAGUGAUAUAAUUGAACUGAUGUAUUUUGAAUACUCUGUGGUGAUCAAAUUUCAUAUUGGUUAGCUUUUUGUUGGUCAGAGGAUACUUGCAAUGUUGCAUUCACAUGCAUUUUAUAAUUUAUCAGGGAAUGUAUUUGAAAUUACAUUUUACUUCUUAUUUAUGUAGAUUGAACUUGCUAGGGCAUAACUAAGAAGUAAAAUGUAAUUUCAAAUAC